Molecule: ribosomal RNA, 1605 nt
Filed under: Triticum aestivum (bread wheat)
Lineage: Eukaryota; Viridiplantae; Streptophyta; Magnoliopsida; Poales; Poaceae
Description: partial small subunit ribosomal RNA
Source: RNAcentral
AUGGACUUCGACGAGUACGAGUACCUCGAGAAGACGGUCGAGGCCUCCGCGGCGGCCCCGGCCAACGGAUCCGACGGGAAGGAGCGCAGCUCCCGCCGCCGGAGCAGCGCCGGCGACGGGGAGGACCGCGACGACGGCGAGCGCCGGUCCAAGCGCUCUCGCUCCGAGCACCGCGACCGCGACCGUGACCUUGAGAGCCGGGAGCGCCACCGCAGCAGCCGGGAGCGCCGGGACCGGGACGUGAGGGAGAAGGAGAGGCUGAGCAGGGAGAGCGAGCGGGAGAGGGAGAAGGAGAGGGAGCGGAGGAGCCGCGACCGCGACCGCGAGCGGGAGAAGGAGCGGGAGAGGGAGCGGAGGAGCCGCAGCCGGUCGGAGCGUCGUCGUGAUGACGGCGAGCGAGAGCGAGAGCGCUUCCGUGAGCGCGACUUCCGUGACCGUGACGUCAGACGUAGGAAAGAAGAUGGUGCCGAACCUGAAGCAGAUCCAGAAAGAGAUCAAAGAACUGUAUUUGCCUUCCAGCUAUCUUUGAAGGCGGAUGAAAGAGAUGUGUAUGAGUUCUUCUCAAGGGCCGGGAAGGUCCGGGAUGUACGCUUAAUAAUGGAUCGAAACUCACGACGUUCUAAAGGCGUUGGGUACAUUGAAUUUUAUGAUGCUAUGUCGGUUCCAAUGGCGAUUGCUCUUAGAGGUCAGCCGCUUCUUGGUCAACCAGUGGACGUUAAGCCAUCAGAGGCUGAAAAGAAUCUUGUUCAGUCCAAUGCUUCAUCAAGUGUAGCAGCUUCAGGUGGGGCAAGGAAGUUGUAUGUUGGAAAUCUUCACUCCAAUAUUACAGAGGAGCAAUUGAGACUGGUCUUUGAACCAUUUGGACUGGUUGAGCUUGUCCAGCUGCCCGUAGACCCACUUACUGGAUUAUGUAAAGGUUUUGGUUUUGUGCAGUUUGCACGGCUGGAAGAUGCAAAAGCUGCUCAGAGUUUAAAUGGUCAACUUGAUAUUGCUGGAAAAGUAAUCAAGGUUUCAGCUGUGACGGAGCAACCGGGAGUGCAAGCCAGUGGGGCAACUGCAGGCGAUUUGGAUGAUGAUGAAGGUGGAGGCUUGGCACUGAAUGCUAGCUCGCGAGCUCUUCUUAUGCAGAAACUGGACCGUAGUGGCGCUACCACCAGUUUGACUUCUGGGUUGGGUGCUUCUGCCGUGGCAUUACCGCCUGUGUCAGUUCUUGGUGCUCCUGCAACCGGUCCUGUGCUACAGCCUACAGUGCCUGGUCUUGGUUUAAUUCCAGGGGCAUCUAUUCCGGUUAUUACCCAGUCCGUUGACACGGCUCCACCUAGUGAAUGCCUAUUGCUCAAGAAUAUGUUUGAUCCAGCUGUGGAGACGGAUCCUGAUUUUGAUUUAGAUAUUAGAGAUGAUGUUCGAGAAGAAUGUUCUAAGUUUGGCCAAGUAAGACACAUUUUUGUAGACAAAAAUACCACAGGCUUUGUGUACCUGCGGUUCGAUAGCAUAACGGCCGCCAUGGGUGCACAGAAAGCACUUCAAGGGAGAUGGUUUGCGGGAAAGAUGAUUACUGCAACAUUUAUGUCCACUCAGCAGUAUGAAAUGAAGUUCCCAGAGUGA